This is an RNA transcript of Linepithema humile (Argentine ant), 4487 nucleotides long. It is a transcript of the gene named lachesin-like, with no coding region annotated. The record is from RefSeq and is a predicted model, not a curated record. Lineage: Eukaryota; Metazoa; Arthropoda; Insecta; Hymenoptera; Formicidae.
UUGCGUAUUUUCCGUGUUUUCUACGUUAAAAGUGUAUAACGAGUACGAAUUUUUGUCAAGAAUGUCGAUCAAAGUGACGGGCGAUUGUCGGAAUGUAUUGUUGUUGCCACGGGUGUUCGUGAUUUAUGAGUGACGAUGCUAUGUCGAUCGUUUGGCGGGAGGAUUGUAGAUUUAAACAGGUCUAAAUUUGACAAUGGCUGUGUGAUUGUCGUUUGUCGCUCGUUAUCGAGCGUUGCUCACUCCGAGUACGUAUAAUGGCUACAACACCAUGAAUGUAUUGCAACAAGAAGUGUUUAAUUUAUAUCAUGUCACGGUAAGACAAAUUUGUGACUUUCGUGUAUAGUACGGAUUGACUUUUGUUUGGUAGUCUGUAUAAUUAACAAUAAGUACAGUUUCUCCAAAUUCAUCAAUUAUCCAAUGGAGCUGAUUCGAAGGAGAAGCUGAAGCAGGAGCAGAUCCAAGAGCAGCUGAUCCAAGUAGAAUCUGCAGCAAGUGAAAUAAAUCGCAAUAUCCAAUCUAGUACAGGGUUAGCAAUGUAAUUAGCUAGGAUACAAUAAUUGAAUCCAGAUAUCGUAGAAAAAUGGAAAGCUUCGCAAAGAUGAGAGGAUUGAAAGACAAGGAAGGAGAUAAUCAGGAAGGUGAUUGUGAUGAAGAAAACUGCGGCCGCGAUCGGGAAGGUGUCCUUCGUCUUCAUCUUCGUCUUCCUCGCCGUUGCCGGUAUCGUCGUUUUUCUUCAAGUGGGAGCAUCAACUUGCAAAAGCCGCUCGGAGCAUUGUGGCGCAGCGUUUUUAAUAGGGUGCAGCUGAAGGCGUACUUAGCUAGGGUACAACGACCGGUCAGCAUGAGCAGGAAAGAGUUUUAGCGACAAGCGCGACGCGAAGCUAAGAACGCAUGCCUAAAUUAGCCUGGGAAGCGGAUAAUUUGCUGGUAAGCGGCUAACGGGUCACUCUCCAGGGGAUAAUAGAUCACCGACUGGUGUCCCAAAGACUGAUCAGAAAACUGGUCGACUCUCAUGGCAGCGCGGAAACUCGCAGCCCUCUUCGCCGCGGUCCUGCAACUUUGCUUAUGCCAAAACAAAAGCCCGGAAGUUUUGCCCGAGUUCUUAGCUCCUUUGGAAAAUCACACGGUGAUCCAAGGUCGCGACGUCUUCUUCACCUGCGUCGUUAAUCAUUUAUCGACGUACAAGGUAGCCUGGAUAAAGUCGGAUUCCCGAGCAAUUUUGGCGAUACAUACGCACAUGGUAGCGCACAAUAAUCGAUUAUCCGUCACGCACAACGGACACAACACGUGGAAACUACACGUGUCGAAUGUCCAGAAGAACGAUUCCGGUACUUACAUGUGUCAAGUCAAUACCGACCCAAUGCGCAGUCAGAUGGGAUACAUGGAAGUAGUGAUACCGCCCGACAUAAUGGAUGACGAGUCCGCAGAUGGUAUGGUCACCCACGAGGGAGGCAAUAUAAGGCUGCGAUGCGUCGCUACCGGUUCGCCGAAGCCUACUGUCACUUGGAAACGAGAAGACGGCCGCAAUAUCAUUCUCAGAGAAGAUGGACAGAAACAAUCUCUGAAAACCUUCGUCGGCGAGACACUGGAAUUGACGGGGGUGAUGCGGCAAGAGAUGGGCACGUAUCUCUGCAUAGCCAGCAACAACGUGCCGCCGACGGUUAGCAAGCGUUACUCCGUCAAUGUUCACUUUCAACCUCUUAUUAAGGUGACGAGUCAAUUGGUGGCUGCGCCGAUUAAUAGAGACGUCGUCCUACAAUGUUACGUCGAAGCGUCACCGCACGCCAUGAAUACAUGGUACAGAGAGUCAGGCGAGAAACUGCUGCCCAGUGACAAAUACGCGAUGUCGGAGUAUGCACUGAAUGAUUACUCCCGGCAAAUGAAUCUCACUGUCAAUUCCCUGGAAAAACGAGACUUCGGCGGAUACGUGUGCUCGUCCGUCAACGCGCUCGGCAAGGCCGAAGGUGUAGUGAGAUUGCAAGAACUGCACUUAUUCGCAAAGACAACUCCGACGACGCUCACGAAGAACACACGAAAGAAACCUCCGACAUCGAAGAACAGGAAAAAGAACAGUAACAACAACGGCAAGCGAUAUGGGAUUGAUGAUGCCGAUUCUGGCAGCGAUGACGAUCUUGGUACGACGCAGAUCAUGGCUGGUAGUACCCUCCAGGAGGGCCACAGAACGGACAUACCAUUUGUCGUGCCUUCCAUACCGCCGCCCUGGGUCGUCUUGAACACUGCGAACUUUAGGCACCCUUCGGUGUCUGCGAUUCUGCUUCUGCUUCUUUUGCCGACUACCCUGUAAGAUGACAAAGAGCUUUAUGAAAAAACGGUGGCUACGAGAGAAACGAGCAUUAUGAAGAUCCACGAGGCAUAGUCCGGAAUCUCAAAGAUUGAUAGAUUUAAAAAACUUCGAUCUUGCACGAUACAGGUACAAAAAUUUAUUUUACACGAAUCAACAUUCAAGAUAAAAAACUGUAAUUAUUAUUUAAAAGCGUUUUUCUUUCUUCUACAAACAUUUUUAUCGGUCAAGACUUGUCCAUGAUUUUUGAGUUACAAAUAAAGUAGAACUCUUUAUAUACUAUUAUACAUUUAUAUCAGAUAUUAUAUUAUCUGUGUCUAUAAAUAUAUUUAUAUUAGAUUGUCUAAUUUUUAAACGGUUUGAUGACAAUAUCUUUUUUCCUGGAUCAAAGUCAGUUUUAAGGCAUUUAAUGCUAUAUUGCUGCGCAUUGUAAGAAACGAUUAUCUCUACCGUUAAUCUCGGACAAAAUUUGCCUUCAAAGCUUGUCAGAAUAUAUUUAAAAGGAGUAAUCGUUAUAAAGGAAUCCUGAAUAUUACAGACUCUUCUAUUUUAAUCAUUAUUUGAUGUACUUUACGUUUUUUUGCGAUGUCAAAAUGCUUUCUCGGAUUACGAGCUCCGUUCUAAGUAUUGAUCGUGAAAUCCAAUACCUUUGAAGAGUAGAAAACCAAUCUCUUUAAGAUAGAAUAGCCUGAUUCCUAUGGAAUCUGACAUCGACUGACCGAUAAUUACCUUCAUUACCUCCUAUUAUUUGCAUAAAUUUCUUGCUUAUUUUUAUUUUUUAAUGACAAUUUUGAAGUAAACACUAAAUGUAUCGUUGUAUCAUCUCGGUAAUCUAAUAUCUUUGUAAAACUUACAAAAACUUUUAUCAUGGAUUGCUAAACAUUAAAAUUGUUUCUGAUAUCGCAAAAAUGCAAAAUUAAAAUAUAUAAAAAAAUAAUAAAUAAAAAUAGAAUAUAUAAAGCAUUAUUUUUAAUAAAAGCAGGCAAUUUCAAUCAUCAAUCAAUAUUGUAUUUGAUUUUUUGUUUAUAGCCCAGAAAAUUAACAUUUUAUGAUAUCUUCAUUCACCAUUUGCGUGUUUGAAGCUAUUAUAAAUUCAGGAUAGAGAUUAAUGAAUGAACUUAGAAAAGCAAACAAUAGGGUCAGUUAGGGACCCCUUGUGGAUCUUCAUUAUUCGCCUAAAAGUAACGCAAAGGGACGCGCCAUGCGUACGCGACAAUCCUAUCUAGGCAGGUCAGUCCCUCUGGCGAUGAUUGUAAAUAUGAAUGAAGGAUGAGUAAAUUCGCGGACAGGAUGUAUAAAAGAGAAAACGGCACUGUUCCCAAGACAGUUAGUUAGACAUGCACGGUUUAAAUGACAACGCUCCUAAAAAUGUUUUUGCAGCACUGUUUGAAGAUUCGAGGCUCGUGAUGGGAACAGAGUCGAGAGAAUGAGGCGGAGUGUGCAAAUUCACUCAGAAAAAAAAGGAAAUAGGUCUUCCCCUUAUUCGAUAUAACAAGGACGUACUUUUAGAUGCGAUCAGAUGCAAUCACUGCGGCGCGACCAAAAAGACGAUGGCGAAAUCUUCGACGUAGUCUCUGUAAAUAUACGCGACACAGUGUCAAUGCGAUAUUUGAUCGAUACGCGAGUGAAAGAAAUGCCUUCUUUCUCUCUCGUUUAAAUCGGCGAUUAAUCGGACUGUAGAUAAAAUACAGGUCAAACAAGUUCGUGCAUCGCGUACUUCGAUCGACAUGGCGAACACAGAUAAAAAAAUGAUGUAACAUCAAAGUACAAGAUGAGUUCUCUGUGCCGACAUCCAUAUGUUAUAGAAUUUUAUAUAGAUAAUCGUGAUUAUUAAAUUUCACUGUUCAACAGACACUGUAAAAAGCUAAAUUACACGAGAGAGAGAAGUAAACAAAUCAAUAGACGGAUAAAGAAAUAAUGUAUCUUGUUUAAUCGUUCAUUACGUUAUUAUUUAUUUACAUCGUUUAUUCCAAACAUUAUUUACGAUGAUCAAAUUAAUUGCUUUCAUUACUCAAUUAUUUUAUAUUGUUAUUAAUUAUUUUAUGAGAGUACUCCAUUGAAAUCAUUAAAACACGAGGCUCACGCAAUGCACGAACUUUCUGAUUUGACGUUAAGAGUUCUUGCAAAUCAAUGUUCGUAUUUUUACCGCUUAGAAUUGAAAUAUAUGGAUUGUAAUUGUUCAAUA